GACGAACGCUGGCGGCGUGCUUAACACAUGCAAGUCGAACGGAAAGGCCCUGCUUUUGUGGGGUUCUCGAGUGGCGAACGGGUGAGUAACACGUGAGUAACCUGCCCUUGACUUUGGGAUAACUUCAGGAAACUGGGGCUAAUACCGGAUAGGAGCUCCUGCUGCAUGGUGGGGGUUGGAAAGUUUCGGCGGUUGGGGAUGGACUCGCGGCUUAUCAGCUUGUUUGUGGGGUAGUGGCUUACCAAGGCUUUGACGGGUAGCCGGCCUGGGAGGGUGACCGGCCACAUUGGGACUGAGAUACGGCCCAGACGCCUACGGGAGGCAGCAGUGGGGAAUAUGGCACAGUGGGCGGAAGCCUGAUACAGCGACGCCGCGUGCGGAAUGACGGCCUUCGGGUUGUAAACCGCUUUCGCCUGUGACGAAGAGUGAUUGACGGUAAUGGGUAAAGAAGCACCGGCUAACUACGUG
Molecule: ribosomal RNA, 468 nt
Filed under: uncultured bacterium
Lineage: Bacteria
Description: partial 16S ribosomal RNA
Rfam family: Bacterial small subunit ribosomal RNA
Source: RNAcentral